UAGGGAAUCUUCGGCAAUGGACGGAAGUCUGACCGAGCAACGCCGCGUGAGUGAAGAAGGUUCUCGGAUCGUAAAGCUCUUUUGUUCGAGAAGAACGUUGGUACGAGUGGAAAAUCUACCAAGUCACGGUAACCAACCAGAACGGGACCGCUAACUACGUGCCAGCAGCCGCGGUACUACGUAGGUCCCGAGCGUUAUCCGGUUUUAUUGGGCGUAAAGCGAGCGCAGGGGGUUCUUUAAGUCUGAAGUUAAAGGCAGUGGCUUAACCAGUGUACGCUUUGGAAACUGGAUGACGUGAGUGCAGAAGGGGAGAGUGGAAGUGCAUGUGUAGCGGGGAAAUGCGUAGAUAUAUGGAGGAAAACCGGUGGCGAAAGCGGCUCUCUGGUCUGUAACUGACGCUGAGGCUCGAAAGCGUGGGGAGCAAACAGG
This 429-nucleotide ribosomal RNA is filed under the name Bacillota bacterium. RNAcentral's name for it is "Firmicutes bacterium partial 16S ribosomal RNA". It matches the Rfam family "Bacterial small subunit ribosomal RNA", at positions 355 to 776 of the family's 1533-position model. Lineage: Bacteria; Bacillati; Bacillota. The record is from RNAcentral.